UGGGGAAUAUUGGACAAUGGAGGCAACUCUGAUCCAGCAAUUCUGUGUGUGUGAAGAAGGUUUUAGGACUGUAAAACACUUUUAGUAGGGAAGAAAGAAAUGACGGUACCUACAGAAGAAGCGACGGCUAAAUACGUGCCAGCAGCCGCGGUAAUACGUAUGUCGCGAGCGUUAUCCGGAAUUAUUGGGCUUAAAGGGCAUCUAGGCGGUUAAACAAGUUGAAGGUGAAAACCUGUGGCUCAACCAUAGGCUUGCCUACAAAACUGUAUAACUAGAGUACUGGAAAGGGGGGUGGAACUACACGAGUAGAGGUGAAAUUCGUAGAUAUGUGUAGGAAUGCCGAUGAUGAAGAUAACUCACUGGUCGGCAACUGACGCUGAAGUGCGAAAGCUAGGGGAGCAAACAGG
This 407-nucleotide ribosomal RNA is filed under the name Verrucomicrobiota bacterium. RNAcentral describes it as "Verrucomicrobia bacterium partial 16S ribosomal RNA". It matches the Rfam family "Bacterial small subunit ribosomal RNA", at positions 355 to 776 of the family's 1533-position model. The record is from RNAcentral. Lineage: Bacteria; Pseudomonadati; Verrucomicrobiota.